This 72-nucleotide transfer RNA is filed under the name Araneus ventricosus. RNAcentral describes it as "tRNA-Arg". Lineage: Eukaryota; Metazoa; Arthropoda; Arachnida; Araneae; Araneidae. The record is from RNAcentral.
UGCGUCGGCCGGGAGUCGAACCUGGGUCAACUGUUUCGGAAACAGCUAUUCUGACCGUUGAACUACCGACGC